Molecule: long non-coding RNA, 256 nt
Filed under: Nicotiana benthamiana
Lineage: Eukaryota; Viridiplantae; Streptophyta; Magnoliopsida; Solanales; Solanaceae
Description: long non-coding RNA (NBEN_LNC039086)
Source: RNAcentral
UCUAUUUUGAAUUCCAUUUCCAGGUACAUGCUAUAACUUUGCCCACUUGUUUGCACAUUUGUAAGCUGGAGAGUUUGAACAUGAAUGAACAAGAAGAUUUGAAGUUGGCAUGGGUUUAAUUAUGCUAUUGAUUUACUCGUGUUUUUCUGGAUGUUAUACUCAAAAAUUAAAUGGAAGUUGCACUAUAUAUUUAGAUUUAGUUGUUGACAUUUGCUUUGAUUUUCACUUGGUAAUUGAAGAUUUGUUAAGAAAAAGG